CCCUUAGAUGUUCUGGGCCGCACGUGCGCUACACUGAUGCAUUCAACGAGUCUAAAACCUGCUCUGAUAGGGGUGGGUAAUCUUUUGAAUGUGCAUCGUGAUUGGGAUAGAUGAUUGCAAUUUUUCAUCUUCAACGAGGAAUGCCUAGUAAACGCAAGUCAUCAGCUUGCAUUGAUUACGUCCCUGCCCUUUGUACACACCGCCCGUCGCUCCUACCGAUUGAAUGAUCCGAUGAAUAUCAUGGAUUGAGGAUUAUAGCAGGUUCGCCUGUCUUGAUCUUCGAGAAGUGAAGUAAAUCUUAUCAUUUAGAGGAAGGAGAAGUCGUAACA
RNAcentral lists this ribosomal RNA (329 nucleotides) under uncultured eukaryote. RNAcentral describes it as "partial 18S ribosomal RNA". It matches the Rfam family "Eukaryotic small subunit ribosomal RNA", at positions 1470 to 1796 of the family's 1831-position model. The record is from RNAcentral.